RNAcentral lists this ribosomal RNA (288 nucleotides) under uncultured Selenomonas sp. RNAcentral describes it as "partial 16S ribosomal RNA". Lineage: Bacteria; Bacillati; Bacillota; Negativicutes; Selenomonadales; Selenomonadaceae. The record is from RNAcentral.
CUACUGGGGUAUCUAAUCCCGUUCGCUCCCCUGGCUUUCGAGCCUCAGCGUCAGUUGCAGUCCAGAAAGCCGCCUUCGCCACUGGUGUUCCUCCCAAUAUCUACGCAUUUCACCGCUACACUGGGAAUUCCGCUUUCCUCUCCUGUACUCAAGACAUGUAGUUUCUUUCCCAUCACGGGGUUGAGCCCCGAACUUUUAAGAAAGACUUACAUGCCCGCCUGCGCUCCCUUUACGCCCAAUGAUUCCGGACAACGCUCGCCACCUACGUAUUACCGCGGCUGCUGGCAC